This 218-nucleotide non-coding RNA is filed under the name unclassified sequences. RNAcentral describes it as "IS605-orfB-I RNA". It matches the Rfam family "IS605-orfB-I RNA". The record is from Rfam by way of RNAcentral.
AACCUAUACAGAUGUAUCAACGCAAGACAGUUGAGCAUCUCCCUGUAGGAACAUGUUUUAAUAGAAGCAUUGAUGAUAAGUCUUAUUGUGUAGAUUAUGAGUUGAAAUAAGAUGAGUCAAUGUGGAAUAGGUCAACCGUGAGACCUUGAAUUGGAAAAUUCUAAAAUAGACCUAGAAAUGGAGAUUUCUGAAAUUUCGUAUUUUCUAGUUACGGUAGA